RNAcentral lists this transfer RNA (73 nucleotides) under Ailuropoda melanoleuca (giant panda). It matches the Rfam family "tRNA". Rfam says of the family: Transfer RNA (tRNA) molecules are approximately 80 nucleotides in length. Lineage: Eukaryota; Metazoa; Chordata; Mammalia; Carnivora; Ursidae. The record is from Rfam by way of RNAcentral.
ACCUGGCUGGCUCAGUCGGCAGAGCAUGCGACUCUUGAUCUCGGGGUUGUGGGCUCAAGCCUCACGUUGGGUG